This 561-nucleotide ribosomal RNA is filed under the name uncultured bacterium. Its description in RNAcentral is "partial 16S ribosomal RNA". It matches the Rfam family "Bacterial small subunit ribosomal RNA", at positions 355 to 1376 of the family's 1533-position model. The record is from RNAcentral.
UGGGGAAUAUUGGACAAUGGGCGCAAGCCUGAUCCAGCCAUGCCGCGUGAGUGAUGAAGGCCCUAGGGUUGUAAAGCUCUUUCACCGGUGAAGAUAAUGACGGUAACCGGAGAAGAAGCCCCGGCUAACUUCGUGCCAGCAGCCGCGGUAAUACGAAGGGGGCUAGCGUUGUUCGGAAUUACUGGGCGUAAAGCGCACGUAGGCGGACAUUUAAGUCAGGGGUGAAAUCCCGGGGCUCAACCCCGGAACUGCCUUUGAUACUGGGUGUCUAGAGUUCGAGAGAGUGAGUGGAAUUCCGAGUGUAGAGGUGAAAUUCGUAGAUAUUCGGAGGAACACCAGUGGCGAAGGCGGCUCACUGGCUCGAUACUGACGCUGAGGUGCGAAAGCGUGGGGAGCAAAACAGGAUUAGAUACCCUGGUAGUCCACGCCGUAAACGAUGGAAGCCAGCUGUCGGCAAGUUUACUUGUCGGUGGCGCAGCUAACGCAUUAAGCUUCCCGCCUGGGGAGUACGGUCGCAAGAUUAAAACUCAAAGGAAUUGACGGGGUCAUAGCUGUUUCCUG